This is a long non-coding RNA of Carassius carassius (crucian carp), 572 nucleotides long. RefSeq lists it as uncharacterized. NCBI's taxonomy places the organism in Eukaryota, Metazoa, Chordata, Actinopteri, Cypriniformes, Cyprinidae. The record is from RefSeq and is a predicted model, not a curated record. The transcript has 4 exons.
CAGGGGCGUUGCACAAGAUCCCGGGCCCUAUGCAUAGGCAGUCCUGAUGGGGCCCCAUGGCCCCGCCCAUGAAAAUAUCCAAGACCACAGGUAUACGGCCCAUCAAGGUUUUAAAGCCACCUGUCCACAGGGCUGUCAGUCAUUGUUACACUAGCAGCGCUGAUGCCAGUCAUAACGCUGAAAGGAUACUACGACAAAGAUAACACUUUCAUCUUCUGAAAACUGAUGGCAAACUUGUUAUUGUCAAUAACAGUAAACCACUUUUAUUGUUCUUUUAUGGUCCUUUAAACAUGAAUACUGCUCAUUCCCAUUCAUGGAAUGAAAAAGAGCAAAAAAGUCAGACAGUUAACAAGAUUUGUAACUAUUCAUGAGCUAUAAGUGCUUAAGGGCACAAUGGUAACACCUCAUGUCUUAUCCUGUGUAGGUUUCAAACCUACAGUGUUUUAGCAUCCAGCCUAGAUCAUUAACCAAUACCGCACAUUACUGUAUAGCAUCACUGUCAUGAAAGUAUGACAACAUUUCCAAAAUGAUGCACAUGAAAAACAGUUGGGUUUUAUGCCUGAUUUACCCUC